GCAAAAAUCCUCGCACCUCCAAGAAACCCGUUACUGCAUCAGGCGCCUUUUCCCCGUCCCCGUGGCUCCCUUCCCCUACUUGGAGUAACCCUCUCUUUCUUUCCAUCUUCUUGAAAUUAUUGUCAUCAUAUAUACCUAAAAUCAAACAGAGCAAGGGCGAGAAAGAGAGAUGCAGUUCUCAUGGUGCUGAGGGCUGCGAUCUGCCGAGGGAUAGUGAGGACUAGGGGCCUCGUGGUCGUGGGCGGUGGGAGCUCGAUCGAUGUCGUCGUCGUGGAGCCGCGUCGAGCCGGCGCCUAAGGAUCCGAUCCUCGGCGUCACGGAGGCUUACCUUGCCGAUCCCAUCCCCAACAAAAGUGAACGUCGGCGUCGGAGCUUAUUGUGAUGAUAAUGAAGAUCCUCGAAUGCGUUAGGGAAGCUGAAAGGAGGAUUGCCGGGAACCUGAAUAUCCAUCAUAAUAUUUGGAUAGAUGCUUGGGUCACAACAGACAUUUCAUUAUCACCAUCCUGAAUCAAGGGGACUUGAUUUUGCUUCAUUGAUGGUAGAUAUUAAGAAUGAUCCAAAUGGGUCAUUCUUUUGCUUAAUGCAUGUGCACAUAAUCCAUCCAGGGUGGAUCCUUCUGAGGAACAAUGGAGGGAGAUAUCCCAUCAGUUUAAGAUAAAGAAUUCUGGGAGGUGAUGGCUGAUCGAAUCAUUGGAAUGUGAAAGGCACUUAGGGAAAAACCUUGAGAAGUUUGGUUCACUGCUAUCCUGGGAACAUAUAACUAAUCAGAUUGGCAUGUUUUGCUACAUACAGCGGAAUGACCCCUGAACAGGUUGAUUGCUUGACAAAUGAGUUCCAUAUCUACAUGGCUUGUAACGGCAGAAUCAGGUAUUAAUUGAGUUGCAAUGCUUUUCCAUGUCCUUUAAUUGUGCAUGUUCUUCCCUUGCUUGUAAAAAUGUAUCUUGUAUAACUGAUGAACAUUUGCCGUGAAAGUUCAGUGGUGUUACAUACUUUGGAACCAA
Non-coding RNA from Phoenix dactylifera (date palm), 1001 nucleotides. The record is from RefSeq and is a predicted model, not a curated record. NCBI's taxonomy places the organism in Eukaryota, Viridiplantae, Streptophyta, Magnoliopsida, Arecales, Arecaceae.